GACGAACGCUGGCGGCGUGCCUAACACAUGCAAGUCGAGCGGGGUUGAAGCGAGAGGUAACUCGAACUUCUACCUAGCGGCGGACGGGUGAGUAACGCGUGGGCAACCUGCCUCAAGGUCUGGGAUAACAGCCCGAAAGGGCUGCUAAUACCGGGUAUGCUUGUGGCCUCGCAUGGGGCUACGAGCAAAGGGGAAACCCGCCUUGAGAUGGGCCCGCGUCCCAUCAGCUAGUUGGUGAGGUAACAGCUCACCAAGGCGACGACGGGUAGCCGGCCUGAGAGGGUGACCGGCCACACUGGGACUGAGACACGGCCCAGACUCCUACGGGGGGCAGCAGUGGGGGAUCUUGCACAAUGGGCGAAAGCCUGAUGCAGCGACGCCGCGUGAGCGAAGAAGGCCUUCGGUGUAAAGCUCUGUCUGGAGGACGGAAGGAAGGUGACGGUACCUCCGGAGGAAGACCACGGCUAACUACGUGCCAGCAGCCGCGGUAAACGUCGUCUCUA
This 503-nucleotide ribosomal RNA is filed under the name uncultured bacterium. Its description in RNAcentral is "bacterial SSU rRNA". It matches the Rfam family "Bacterial small subunit ribosomal RNA", at positions 28 to 537 of the family's 1533-position model. The record is from RNAcentral.